RNAcentral lists this unclassified non-coding RNA (314 nucleotides) under plant metagenome. Its description in RNAcentral is "partial contains 5.8S ribosomal RNA, internal transcribed spacer 2, and large subunit ribosomal RNA". The stretch from base 1 to 105 matches the Rfam family "5.8S ribosomal RNA", at positions 50 to 154 of the family's 154-position model. The record is from RNAcentral.
GAAAUGCGAUAAUUAAUGUGAAUUGCAGAAUUCAGUGAAUCAUCGAGUCUUUGAACGCACAUUGCGCCCCCUGGUAUUCCGGGGGGCAUGCCUGUCCGAGCGUCAUUGCUGCCCUCAAGCACGGCUUGUGUGUUGGGCUUCCGUCCCUGGCAACGGGGACGGGCCCAAAAGGCAGUGGCGGCACCAUAUCUGGUCCUCGAGCGUAUGGGGCUUUGUCACCCGCUCCCGUAGGUCCAGCUGGCAGCUAGCCUCGCAACCAAUCUUUUUAACCAGGUUGACCUCGGAUCAGGUAGGGAUACCCGCUGAACUUAAGC